Molecule: transfer RNA, 80 nt
Filed under: Neptuniibacter caesariensis
Lineage: Bacteria; Pseudomonadati; Pseudomonadota; Gammaproteobacteria; Oceanospirillales; Oceanospirillaceae
Description: tRNA-Val
Source: RNAcentral
GAGCCAUUCGCGGACACCGCCUGCACACCAUUUACGAUGGUAGGAACAACCACCAUAUUGGUAGAUUCAAUAGCGGCUUU